UACGUAGGGGGCGAGCGUUGUCCGGAGUUACUGGGCGUAAAGGGCAUGCAGGCGGUCGGAGGCGUUUCGGGUGACAGCGGGUGGCUCAACUACCCGAGUGUUCGAAAGACGCUCCGACUUGAGGACGCGAGAGGGACACAGAAUUCCGGGUGGAGUGGUGAAAUGCGUAGAGAUCCGGAGGAACACCGAAGGCGAAGGCAGUGUCCUGGCGCGUAACUGACGCUGAGGUGCGAAAGCCAGGGGAG
RNAcentral lists this ribosomal RNA (245 nucleotides) under uncultured Thermogemmatispora sp. RNAcentral describes it as "partial 16S ribosomal RNA". It matches the Rfam family "Bacterial small subunit ribosomal RNA", at positions 524 to 768 of the family's 1533-position model. The record is from RNAcentral. Lineage: Bacteria; Bacillati; Chloroflexota; Ktedonobacteria; Thermogemmatisporales; Thermogemmatisporaceae.